UUGAUCAUGGCUCAGAUUGAACGCUGGCGGCAUGCCUUACACAUGCAAGUCGAACGGCAGCACGGGAGCAAUCCUGGUGGCGAGUGGCGAACGGGUGAGUAAUGUAUCGGAACGUACCUUUCAGUGGGGGAUAACGUAGCGAAAGUUACGCUAAUACCGCAUAUUCGGUGAACAGGAAAGCAGGGGAUCGCAAGACCUUGCGCUGAUUGAGCGGCCGAUAUCAGAUUAGCUAGUUGGUGGGGUAAAGGCCUACCAAGGCGACGAUCUGUAGCGGGUCUGAGAGGAUGAUCCGCCACACUGGAACUGAGACACGGUCCAGACUCCUACGGGAGGCAGCAGUGGGGAAUUUUGGACAAUGGGGGCAACCCUGAUCCAGCCAUGCCGCGUGAGUGAAGAAGGCCUUCGGGUUGUAAAGCUCUUUCAGCCGGGAAGAAAUCGCAUGGGCUAAUACCCUGUGUGGAUGACGGUACCGGAAUAAGAAGCACCGGCUAACUACGUGCCAGCAGCCGCGGUAAUACGUAGGGUGCGAGCGUUAAUCGGAAUUACUGGGCGUAAAGCGUGCGCAGGCGGUUUAGUAAGACAGGCGUGAAAUCCCCGGGCUCAACCUGGGAACUGCGCUUGUGACUGCUAAGCUAGAGUACGGCAGAGGGGGGGUGGAAUUCCACGUGUAGCAGUGAAAUGCGUAGAGAUGUGGAGGAACACCAAUGGCGAAGCAGCCCCCUGGGUCGAUACUGACGCUCAUGCACGAAAGCGUGGGUAGCAAACAGGAUUAGAUACCCUGGUAGUCCACGCCCUAAACGAUGUCAACUAGGUGUUGGGUGGGUAAAACCAUU
Molecule: ribosomal RNA, 833 nt
Filed under: uncultured bacterium
Lineage: Bacteria
Description: bacterial SSU rRNA
Rfam family: Bacterial small subunit ribosomal RNA
Source: RNAcentral